Molecule: ribosomal RNA, 495 nt
Filed under: uncultured bacterium
Lineage: Bacteria
Description: partial 16S ribosomal RNA
Rfam family: Bacterial small subunit ribosomal RNA
Source: RNAcentral
GACGAACGCUGGCGGCGUGCCUAAUACAUGCAAGUAGAACGCUGAAGGAGGAGCUUGCUCUUCUGGAUGAGUUGCGAACGGGUGAGUAACGCGUAGGUAACCUGCCUGGUAGCGGGGGAUAACUAUUGGAAACGAUAGCUAAUACCGCAUAAGAGUAGAUGUUGCAUGACAUUUACUUAAAAGGUGCAAUUGCAUCACUACCAGAUGGACCUGCGUUGUAUUAGCUAGUUGGUGGGGUAACGGCUUACCAAGGCGACGAUACAUAGCCGGCCUGAGAGGGUGAUCGGCCACACUGGGACUGAGACACGGCCCAGACUCCUACGGGAGGCAGCAGUAGGGAAUCCUCGGCAAUGGACGGAAGUCUGACCGAGCAACGCCGCGUGAGUGAAGAAGGUUUUCGGAUCGUAAAGCUCUGUUGUAAGAGAAGAACGAGUGUGAGAGUGGAAAGUUCACACUGUGACGGUAUCUUACCAGAAAGGGACGGCUAACUACGUG